Molecule: ribosomal RNA, 468 nt
Filed under: uncultured bacterium
Lineage: Bacteria
Description: partial 16S ribosomal RNA
Rfam family: Bacterial small subunit ribosomal RNA
Source: RNAcentral
GACGAACGCUGGCGGCGUGCUUAACACAUGCAAGUCGAACGGAAAGGCCCGGCUUUGGUGGGGUGCUCGAGUUGCGAACGGGUGAGUAACACGUGAGUAACCUGCCCCUGACUUUGGGAUAACCUCAGGCAACUGGGGCUCAUACCGGCUAGGAUCUCCUGCUGCAUGGUGGGGGUUGGAUAGUUUCGGCGGUUGGGGAUGGACUAGCCGCCUAUGAGCUUGUUGGUGGGGUAGUGGAUUAGCAAGGCUUUGACGGGUGGCCGGCCUGCGAGGGUGACCGGCCACAUUGGGCCUGGACUACGGCCCAGACUCCUCCGGUAGGCAGCGGUGGGGAAUAUUGCACAAUGGGCGGAAGCCUAAUGCAGCAACGCCGCGUGCGGGAUGACGGCCUUCGGGUUGUAAACCGCUUUCGCCUGUGACGAAGCGUGAGUGACGGUAAUGGGUAAAGAAGCACCGGCUAACUACGUG